RNAcentral lists this ribosomal RNA (253 nucleotides) under uncultured bacterium. RNAcentral's name for it is "partial 16S ribosomal RNA". It matches the Rfam family "Bacterial small subunit ribosomal RNA", at positions 524 to 776 of the family's 1533-position model. The record is from RNAcentral.
UACGAAGGUGGCUAGCGUUGUUCGGAUUUACUGGGCGUAAAGGGAGCGUAGGCGGUUUUUCAAGUCAGGCGUGAAAGCCCGAGGCUUAACCUCGGAAUUGCGCUUGGAACUGAUUGACUGGAGUAUGGGAGAGGAUAGCGGAAUUCCUAGUGUAGAGGUGAAAUUCGUAGAUAUUAGGAAGAACACCGGUGGCGAAGGCGGCUAUCUGGACCAUAACUGACGCUGAAGCUCGAAAGCAUGGGGAUCAAACAGG